CCUACGGGAGGCUGCAGUGGGGAAUAUUGCACAAUGGGGGAAACCCUGAUGCAGCAACGCCGCGUGAGUGAAGAAGUAUUUCGGUAUGUAAAGCUCUAUCAGCAGGGAAGAAGAUGACGGUACCUGAGUAAGAAGCCCCGGCCAACUACGUGCCAGCAGCCGCGGUAAUACGUAGGGGGCAAGCGUUAUCCGGAUUUACUGGGUGUAAAGGGAGCGUAGACGGCUGCGCAAGUCAGAAGUGAAAGCCCGGGGCUCAACCCCGGGACUGCUUUGGAAACUGUGUAGCUAGAGUGCUGGAGAGGCAAGCGGAAUUCCUGGUGUGGCGGGGAAGUGCGUAGUUAUUAGGAAGAACACCAGUGGCAAGGGCGGCUUGCUGGACAGUAACUGACGUUGGGGCUCGAAGGCGUGGGGGGCAAACGGAAU
Molecule: ribosomal RNA, 423 nt
Filed under: uncultured bacterium
Lineage: Bacteria
Description: partial 16S ribosomal RNA
Rfam family: Bacterial small subunit ribosomal RNA
Source: RNAcentral